This 134-nucleotide ribosomal RNA is filed under the name Bacillus cereus. RNAcentral's name for it is "partial 16S ribosomal RNA". It matches the Rfam family "Bacterial small subunit ribosomal RNA", at positions 1410 to 1533 of the family's 1533-position model. Lineage: Bacteria; Bacillati; Bacillota; Bacilli; Caryophanales; Bacillaceae. The record is from RNAcentral.
GUUUGUAACACCCGAAGUCGGUGGGGUAACCUUUUUGGAGCCAGCCGCCUAAGGUGGGACAGAUGAUUGGGGUGAAGUCGUAACAAGGUAGCCGUAUCGGAAGGUGCGGCUGGAUCACCUCCUUUCUAUGGAGA